CCUACGGGAGGCUGCAAUUAGGAAUCUUGCGCAAUGGGCGAAAGCCUGACGCAGCGACGCCGCGUGAGGGAGGAAGGCCUUCGGGUUGUAAACCUCUUUUAUCCGGGAAGAAGAAAGUGACGGUACCGGAUGAAUAAGCCACGGCUAACUCCGUGCCAGCAGCCGCGGUAAUACGGAGGUGGCGAGCGUUGUCCGAAGUUACUGGGCGUAAAGCGCGCGUAGGCGGGCUGUUAAGUGAGGGGUGAAAGGCCGAGGCUCAACCUCGUGUUCGUCCUCUCAUACUGGCAGUCUUGAGUGAGGCAGGGAGAAGUGGAAUGGCUGGUGUAGCGGUGAAAUGCGUAGAUAUCAGUCGGAACACCGGUGGCGAAGGCGGCUUCUUGGGCCUUAACUGACGCUGAGGCGCGAAAGCUGGGGGAGCGAACGGGAUUAGAUACCCGUGU
RNAcentral lists this ribosomal RNA (440 nucleotides) under uncultured bacterium. RNAcentral's name for it is "bacterial SSU rRNA". It matches the Rfam family "Bacterial small subunit ribosomal RNA", at positions 338 to 791 of the family's 1533-position model. The record is from RNAcentral.